This 366-nucleotide long non-coding RNA is filed under the name Androctonus crassicauda. The record is from RNAcentral. Lineage: Eukaryota; Metazoa; Arthropoda; Arachnida; Scorpiones; Buthidae.
CGGCAGUGGGAUUCAUUCAUAUCUUCCUGCACUCCUGCCAGCAGUACAUGGCACAGCCCAAGCCACCCUAGGCCAGCCUGGAGUCUUUUCCAUGCUCUGAUCACCUAAGCUGCCUCAGAACUCAUUUGCUUCUCUCCUUCCUGGAAAGCUUCCCUUUAUGUUUUAUUUUGACCCCAGAUGUCCAGAUGUUUUGCAGUGUCUGGGGCUUGUGCCCCUUGUUGUUCGUUCUGCUUCUUUGCCCCUUUCCUCUACAUGGAGUGAUUAUGUUGACAAUAAUGUGUAAUGCGCGUUCUUUUCACUGGUUUAUCUACAGAAAUUUCUCUGGGCCUUUUUUCUGUGUUUGAUUCAACACUGCACUAAGCGGGG